GGAAUUUUUCGCAAUGGGGGAAACCCUGACGAAGCAACGCCGCGUGGAGGAUGAAGGUCUUCGGGUCGUAAACUCCUGUCGACCGGGACGAACGCAGUCGGGGCCAAUACCCCCGGCUGUCGACUGUCCCGGGGGAGGAAGCCACGGCUAACUCUGUGCCAGAAGCCCCGGCAAUACAGAGGUGGCAAGCGUUGUUCGGAAUUACUGGGCGUAAAGGGCGCGUAGGCGGUUCGUUAAGUCCUGUGUGAAAUCCCCCGGCUCAACUGGGGAACUGCACAGGAAACUAGCGGGCUUGAGUUCGGGAGAGGGAAGCGGAAUUCCGGGUGUAGCGGUGAAAUGCGUAGAUAUCCGGAGGAACACCGGUGGCGAAGGCGGCUUCCUGGACCGACACUGACGCUGAGGCGCGAAAGCUAGGGGAGCAAAC
RNAcentral lists this ribosomal RNA (424 nucleotides) under uncultured bacterium. Its description in RNAcentral is "bacterial SSU rRNA". It matches the Rfam family "Bacterial small subunit ribosomal RNA", at positions 358 to 773 of the family's 1533-position model. The record is from RNAcentral.